CUGGGCGUAAGCGUGCGUAGGCGGUUAUUUAAGUCAGAUGUGAAAGCCCCGGGCUUAACCUGGGAACUGCAUUUGAUACUGGGUAACUAGAGUUUAAUAGAGGGGAGUGGAAUUUCAGGUGUAGCGGUGAAAUGCGUAGAGAUCUGAAGGAACACCAGUGGCGAAGGCGACUCCCUGGAUUAAAACUGACGCUGAGGUACGAAAGCGUGGGUAGCAAACAGGAUUAGAUACCCUGGUAGUCCACGCCGUAAACGAUGUCAACUAGCCGUUGGUCUUAUUUAUAAGAUUAGUGGCGCAGCUAACGCAUUAAGUUGACCGCCUGGGGAGUACGGCCGCAAGGUUAAAACUCAAAUGAAUUGACGGGGGCCCGCACAAGCGGUGGAGCAUGUGGUUUAAUUCGAUGCAACGCGAAGAACCUUACCUACCCUUGACAUCCAGAGAAUCUGUUAGAGAUAGCGGAGUGCCUUCGGGAACUCUGAGACAGGUGCUGCAUGGCUGUCGUCAGCUCGUGUCGUGAGAUGUUGGGUUAAGUCCCGUAACGAGCGCAACCCUUAUCCUUAGUUGCCAACAGGUCAAGCUGGGAACUCUAGGGAGACUGCCGGUGAUAAACCGGAGGAAGGUGGGGACGAC
This 630-nucleotide ribosomal RNA is filed under the name uncultured bacterium. Its description in RNAcentral is "bacterial SSU rRNA". It matches the Rfam family "Bacterial small subunit ribosomal RNA", at positions 554 to 1183 of the family's 1533-position model. The record is from RNAcentral.